UUAAUCCCGGUUGAUCCUGCCGGACCCGACUGCUAUUGGGGUGAGGCUAAGCCAUGCGAGUCGGCUCUCCUAGCCAUGAUGGAGAGCGGCGUACGGCUCAGUAACAUGUGGUCAAUCUACCCUCAGGACGGGGAUAACCUCGGGAAACUGAGGCUAACACCCGAUAGAUAAUGGAUCCUGGAAUGGUUCAUUAUUUAAACGGCACAUUGCUCAUGCGCAGUAUGCCGCCUGAGGAUGAGACUGCAUCCUAUCAGGUAGUUGGUGGGGUAAUGGCUCACCAAGCCGAUAACGGGUACGGGCCCUGAGAGGGGGAGCCCGGAGAUGGGCACUGAGA
This 334-nucleotide ribosomal RNA is filed under the name Candidatus Methanosuratincola sp. RNAcentral's name for it is "bacterial SSU rRNA". It matches the Rfam family "Archaeal small subunit ribosomal RNA", at positions 1 to 308 of the family's 1478-position model. The record is from RNAcentral. Lineage: Archaea; Thermoproteati; Thermoproteota; Methanosuratincolia; Candidatus Methanomethylicales; Candidatus Methanomethylicaceae.